Molecule: non-coding RNA, 1946 nt
Organism: Ictidomys tridecemlineatus (thirteen-lined ground squirrel)
Lineage: Eukaryota; Metazoa; Chordata; Mammalia; Rodentia; Sciuridae
Source: RefSeq, a predicted model, not a curated record
UCCACCCAAACCUCUGCACUGAGGACCAGCCCUGCACACAUAGACUUCGGGCGGACAUUUAAGAUCUAAACCGUAGAGCAGUCGCGUUUGUCGAGGCGGAAAGCAGCCUGAGUGGCUAACCAGGCCCCAGGUCCCACCAGAAACAAGUGCCAGUGACCCCCUGGCAGGCCUCGGCCCCAACUCAGAGACCAGAGAUGGCCAGGCCCUGAGGCCAGCCCCGUGAAGAAGGCUCGUCGGCCAUGCUGGCCCAGGGUGGCGGCCUCAGGCCCGGCUCAGCACCGGAGCCCACACCUCAGCUCUCCCAUGCGCAGCACCCUCUCCUCCACCCCAAGCGAGGUCUCCCGGCUCCUCACACGCCACAGAGUGGAGGCCCUGCCCUCGGCCACCCCUGCCCCUGUGGGCCCUGACAGAGGCCCUGGGCACAGUGGGCAGCAGCUGGAGAGGCUGGAUGAGGAGGCAGGCGCCCUGGACCAGGGUGCGGCUGCUCCUCCAGGCCCGGGCCCGCACAGCGGCUGCACACCCCGCGCAGGAGGGCCCAGGAGCCCAGGGCACGGCAGACCUCCUCACCUGCUCCUGUUCCUAAUCACACCUGAAACCAGGGUCACACUCCUGUGCUGAUGCACGCCGUCCAGAUUCCUUGCAUCCAACAUGAAACCUCUCCCUGGAUGAAGCAUUUAAACCGCAGUCAUCAACUGAAAGGGGACGCGUUGUCUCCAAGCUGAGAUCCGGGCUGCCCUGCGGGGGACCCUGCAGACCUUACCACUUCAGAAUUGUUAUUCAACAAAUUUUUGCUGAAUUCAGAAGCAAAAAGUAUCAUCUGCACUUGUUUCCCAGGCUGCCAUAACAAAGAACCAGGAGCUGGGUUCAAAUGUCAGGGACGGUCCCCUCGUGCCGGGGGCCUGGACAAGGCUGUGACACUCAGGGGAGGGCCUUCCCGCCACCUCAGGACCCUCACCCAGUCUCUGCCUCCACCCCACAGGGCUGUCCUCACCCUGUGUCCCUUGGGGGUCCAGCCCCCUCAGUGUGAUGUCACCCUAGUGGGUGACACCUGUGAGUGUCCUGUUUCCACAUCAAGUCCCACUCCCAGGUUCUGUGUGGGGACUGAACCUCUCUGGGGAGAUGGGGAUCCGUCUGGGCCGUGCGUGUCCACUACCGUCCAGGUGUGAGCCUCCUCCCCGAGGUGGCUUGGCCCUGGGUCACCCCCCGUCUCCGAGGGCGGCUUGUCAAGUCGGUCUUACUCGCCUACUGGGAAAGGCUCAAGUGUCAAGGAAAGCUAGCGCUGACCUAAUGGAACGGAGCCCGCUGAGCUAGAUGGGGACCCGCGUCUGGCUUCUCCAUGUCCUCCGCCUCGGCCCACGCCCUCGGCCCCACCUCCCCGCACAGCACGGUACUGUGUAUUCCAAGGCGGCUCCCCGUUUGCAGGUGAGCUUGAUGCCAGGGCUUGGGGGGGACGGCUGGGCUCUGUCUGGGUAGGAGUGGACCCACGCCAUGCUCCCGGGCGCUUCCCCCUCUCCCUCUCACCCUUCAGCCCUCCGCCAUGGGAUAAUACCCAAGAAAGCCCUCCACAGAUGCAUCUUGGAGUUCCAAGACAGUAAACUUAUGUUCGUCAUAGAGGGCCCAGUCUGUGGCCUUGUGUUACAGCAGUGCACAGUGGACAAAGACUGGUGGCCAGCGUCUACCCAGCUCCUAGCCUGCAGAGAGAGGCCUUCCCUUGUUCCAGAAAGCAUCUUAGGGAAGCCCUCUUUCCGCCAAGGGUAUUACCUUUAUCCACUGGAGGUCAAGUGUAGGUCAGUCACCCUGAUUACCUGAACUACAGGUAGGAAGGAGGUAGUUCCCAGGAGGUGGGACCAAACAAAGGAGUCACAGUCUUCUUUGAGUGGGCAAAAUCAAAAGAUGUUCCCAGAAGGGUAAAUCCUUUUCUUAUUUUUUCCUGAGAACUCUUUAUA